AUUGAACGCUAGCGGGAUGCUUUACACAUGCAAGUCGAACGGCAGCGCGGACUUCGGUCUGGCGGCGAGUGGCGAACGGGUGAGUAAUGUAUCGGAACGUGCCCAGUAGCGGGGGAUAACUACGCGAAAGCGUAGCUAAUACCGCAUACGCCCUACGGGGGAAAGCAGGGGAUCGUAAGACCUUGCACUAUUGGAGCGGCCGAUAUCGGAUUAGCUAGUUGGUGAGGUAACGGCUCACCAAGGCGACGAUCCGUAGCUGGUUUGAGAGGACGACCAGCCACACUGGGACUGAGACACGGCCCAGACUCCUACGGGAGGCAGCAGUGGGGAAUUUUGGACAAUGGAGGCAACCCUGAUCCAGCCAUCCCGCGUGUGCGAUGACGGCCUUCGGAUUGUAAAGCACUUUUGGCAGGAAAGAAGCGUCGCGGGCUAAUACCCCGUGGAACUGACGGUACCUGCAGAAUAAGCACCGGCUAACUACGUG
Molecule: ribosomal RNA, 484 nt
Filed under: uncultured bacterium
Lineage: Bacteria
Description: partial 16S ribosomal RNA
Rfam family: Bacterial small subunit ribosomal RNA
Source: RNAcentral